RNAcentral lists this RNase P RNA (369 nucleotides) under bacterium. Its description in RNAcentral is "RNase P RNA component class A". It matches the Rfam family "Bacterial RNase P class A". Rfam says of the family: Ribonuclease P (RNase P) is a ubiquitous endoribonuclease, found in archaea, bacteria and eukarya as well as chloroplasts and mitochondria. Its best characterised activity is the generation of mature 5'-ends of tRNAs by cleaving the 5'-leader elements of precursor-tRNAs. Cellular RNase Ps are ribonucleoproteins. The record is from RNAcentral.
CUUGAGAUUUUGUGAUCGCCGUGGCUUUUAGCCAAGGAGGAAAGUCCGAACACCACAGAAUAGGGUAACUGGUAACGCCAGCCGCCGUUUAUAGCAAUAUAGACAGCAGGGAAAGUGCCACAGAGACAAUACUAUGCCCGCUUGCGGGCAGAAAGGUGAAAAGCCCCUUUUAGAGGGGAGACCCCGAGUAAUCGGGAUCACUAGGCAAACCCUACCCGGUGCAAGGUGGGAUGGUAGUAAGGGAAUUUACCUCAUUCUAAGGUCCCCUUCUACCCACCGCUAGACUCAUUGUGCGAGCAAUAUGAGUUAGAUAGAUGAUCACGCUCUCGAAAGAGAGAACAGAAUUCGGCUUACAAUUUCUUUAGUCAG